AUUGAACGCUGGCGGCAGGCCUAACACAUGCAAGUCGAACGGUAACAGGAAACAGCUUGCUGUUUCGCUGACGAGUGGCGGACGGGUGAGUAAUGUCUGGGAAACUGCCUGAUGGAGGGGGAUAACUACUGGAAACGGUAGCUAAUACCGCAUACGUCGCAAGACCAAAGAGGGGGACCUUCGGGCCUCUUGCCAUCGGAUGUGCCCAGAUGGGAUUAGCUAGUAGGUGGGGUAACGGCUCACCUAGGCGACGAUCCCUAGCUGGUCUGAGAGGAUGACAAGCCACACUGGAACUGAGAAACGGGCCAGACUCCUACGGGAGGCAGCAGUGGGGAAUAUUGCACAAUGGGCGCAAGCCUGAUGCAGCCAUGCCGCGUGUAUGAAGAAGGCCUUCGGGUUGUAAAGUACUUUCAGCGGGGAGGAAGGGAGUAAAGUUAAUAACCUUAGUGAUUGACGUUACCCGCAGAAGAAGCACCGGCUAACUCCGUGCCAGCCGCCGCGUAA
Molecule: ribosomal RNA, 504 nt
Filed under: uncultured bacterium
Lineage: Bacteria
Description: partial 16S ribosomal RNA
Rfam family: Bacterial small subunit ribosomal RNA
Source: RNAcentral